This 497-nucleotide ribosomal RNA is filed under the name uncultured bacterium. RNAcentral's name for it is "partial 16S ribosomal RNA". It matches the Rfam family "Bacterial small subunit ribosomal RNA", at positions 28 to 507 of the family's 1533-position model. The record is from RNAcentral.
GAUGAACGCUGGCGGCGUGCCUAAUACAUGCAAGUCGAGCGAACAGACGAGGAGCUUGCUCCUCUGACGUUAGCGGCGGACGGGUGAGUAACACGUGGAUAACCUACCUAUAAGACUGGGAUAACUUCGGGAAACCGGAGCUAAUACCGGAUAAUAUAUUGAACCGCAUGGUUCAAUAGUGAAAGACGGUUUUGCUGUCACUUAUAGAUGGAUCCGCGCCGCAUUAGCUAGUUGGUAAGGUAACGGCUUACCAAGGCAACGAUGCGUAGCCGACCUGAGAGGUUGAUCGGCCACACUGGAACUGAGACACGGUCCAGACUCCUACGGGAGGCAGCAGUAGGGAAUCUUCCGCAAUGGGCGAAAGCCUGACGGAGCAACGCCGCGUGAAUGAUGAAGGUCUUCGGAUCGUAAAACUCUGUUAUUAGGGAAGAACAAAUGUGUAAGUAACUAUGCACGUCUUGACGGUACCUAAUCAGAAAGCCACGGCUAACUACGUG